RNAcentral lists this unclassified non-coding RNA (347 nucleotides) under soil metagenome. RNAcentral's name for it is "partial contains 5.8S ribosomal RNA, internal transcribed spacer 2, and large subunit ribosomal RNA". The stretch from base 1 to 120 matches the Rfam family "5.8S ribosomal RNA", at positions 35 to 154 of the family's 154-position model. The record is from RNAcentral.
GAUGAAGAACGCAGCGAAAUGCGAUAAAUAAUGUGAAUUGCAGAAUUCAGUGAAUCAUCGAGUCUUUGAACGCACAUUGCGCCCCCUGGUAUUCCGGGGGGCAUGCCUGUCCGAGCGUCAUUGCUGCCCUCAAGCACGGCUUGUGUGUUGGGCCCCCGUCCCCCCCUCCCGGGGGACGGGCCCGAAAGGCAGCGGCGGCACCGCGUCCGGUCCUCGAGCGUAUGGGGCUUUGUCACCCGCUCUGUAGGCCCGGCCAGCGCCUGCCGACCACCAUCAAUCUUUUUUCAGGUUGACCUCGGAUCAGGUAGGGAUACCCGCUGAACUUAAGCAUAUCAAUAAGCGGAGGA